RNAcentral lists this ribosomal RNA (670 nucleotides) under Sarocladium spinificis. Its description in RNAcentral is "partial large subunit ribosomal RNA". It matches the Rfam family "Eukaryotic large subunit ribosomal RNA", at positions 83 to 782 of the family's 3401-position model. The record is from RNAcentral. Lineage: Eukaryota; Fungi; Ascomycota; Sordariomycetes; Hypocreales; Sarocladiaceae.
GUAACGGCGAGUGAAGCGGCAACAGCUCAAAUUUGAAAUCUGGCCGCAAGGUCCGAGUUGUAAUUUGCAGAGGAUGCUUUUGGCGAGGUGCCUUCCGAGUUCCCUGGAACGGGACGCCAUAGAGGGUGAGAGCCCCGUACGGUAGGACCACCGAGCCUUUGUAAAGCUCCUUCGACGAGUCGAGUAGUUUGGGAAUGCUGCUCUAAAUGGGAGGUGUACGUCUUCUAAAGCUAAAUACCGGCCAGAGACCGAUAGCGCACAAGUAGAGUGAUCGAAAGAUGAAAAGCACUUUGAAAAGAGGGUUAAAAAGUACGUGAAAUUGUUGAAAGGGAAGCAUUCAUGACCAGACUUGGGCUUGGUUGAACAUCCGGCGUUCUCGCCGGUGCACUCUGCCAGUCCAGGCCAGCAUCAGUUUGCCCCGGGGGACAAAGGCGGUGGGAAUGUGGCUCUCUCCGGGGAGUGUUAUAGCCCGCCGUGUAAUGCCCUGGGGCGGACUGAGGAACGCGCUUCGGCUCGGAUGCUGGCGUAAUGGUCAUCAAUGACCCGUCUUGAAACACGGACCAAGGAGUCGUCUUCGUAUGCGAGUGUUCGGGUGUCAAACCCCUACGCGAAAUGAAAGUGAACGUAGGUGAGAGCUUCGGCGCAUCACCGACCGAUCCUGAUGUUCUCG